CAUUUGGCUUUUUCCUGACUCUCCAGCCGCUCCUCCUGCCGCCGUCAUCCAUCCUCCACCUCAAACUUCUUCCCCUGGAAAUUGGUUUCACUUCUUCACACUCUGCCUGCUCAUUACACCUACCCUCACGUGUCUACCAUGAACAACUCCUGCCUAUAUUUCUAGCUCAACUUCUCCUCUGAGAUCCGGAUCCCUAUGUCCAAUCAUUUCCUUCAUGUGUGUGUAGAACCUAAUACAUCUCAAACCAAACGUGUCCCCUGGUCCUCUAGCCCUAAUCCUUCCUCUAAAAGUAUCCUGCUCUCUAUGUGUCUUAUCCAGGUUAAUAUCAUCUCUGCCUUUCCAGUUUCUCUAACUGUUCAUCUUAAAGUUAAUUCAACUUCAAAAACGUCUCUAGAUGGCUCUUGUAAUCUUAAUCCAAGCCCUAUCCACCUUUCACCUAGCCUGUUAUAACCACCUUCUAUGGGCUUUCGUGCCUAGUGUUCCUCUGCUCCCUUCUGGUUUUUAUACUGACUUCUUUAGGAAAAGUGCUUUAAAACGUCACGCUCCAUAAUGUCGAGGUACGACUCACAUCUCUGCUCUCAUCUCUCACAAUCCUCUUGUCUCCUUCCCACCAACCCUCAGCCCCACAUGCUUCUCACACUGAGCUCCGCACUGUCCUCUAUGACCGAAUGCCCUUCUGCCUGUGCCUAGAACAUCUAUUCAUCAUCUUUCUUGCCUAUCACCUUCUCAGCUUCCCUCAACCUUCUCCGGUUGCAUGAAUCAUUUUUUUCUGUGGUCCUACAGAGCUUCCUUCAAAUCUGUCUGACACUAAUUAUAUUGCAUCACUUCUAUGGUCUACUAGAGGCCCGGUGCACAAAAUUCGUGCACAGGAGGGGGGUGGGGUCCCUCAGCACAGCCUGCACCCUCUCCAAUCCAGAACCCCUCGGGGGAUGUCCGACUGCUGGUUUAGGCCCCAUCCCGCAGUCGAACAUCCCUCUUGUAAUCCGGGACUGUUGGCUCCUAACUGCUCACUUGCCUGCCUGCCUGAUCACCCCUAACCACUCUACCUGCCUGCCUGAUUGCCCCUAACUACCUCUGCUUGAUGGCCUGGUCACCCCCUAACUGCCCCCCUGCUGGCCUGGUUGCCCCUAACUGCUUGCUCCCCUGCUAGCCUGAUCACCCCUAACUGCCUCUGCCUCAGCCCCCGCCACCAUGGCUUUGUCCGGAAGGAAGUCAGACGUCCGGAAGAUGUCUGGUCAACCUGGUCUAAUUAGCAUAUUACCCUUUUAUUAGUAUAGAUGUUUUUCUCUUUUGCGGAAGGCUGAGCACCUCUAAAGAAAGACAAUCUUCACAUCCUUAACAAGUUCCUCGCAUGUGGUAGAGGCACCAAAUCGCAGCACAGGACCUCAGAGACUCGCUGAGCUGGGUGCAGUGGCUGUGAUGAGACUGAGAGCGCCACCACUGCACCGGAGCAGAGACCACAGCCCCCUCGUUGUUAUCAUGUUCAUUGCCAACCCUCCGGACACCCACCUUGCCAAAGGCUGGACUCUGAUUCCAUUUGAGACUAAUAAGAAGACAACCAUAUGGCCCUCCUCCAAUCCUCAACCCAGGCUGUUUAUCACCGUCAGC
Molecule: long non-coding RNA, 1608 nt
Organism: Eptesicus fuscus (big brown bat)
Lineage: Eukaryota; Metazoa; Chordata; Mammalia; Chiroptera; Vespertilionidae
Exons: 4
Source: RefSeq, a predicted model, not a curated record